RNAcentral lists this ribosomal RNA (301 nucleotides) under uncultured bacterium. RNAcentral describes it as "partial 16S ribosomal RNA". It matches the Rfam family "Bacterial small subunit ribosomal RNA", at positions 509 to 807 of the family's 1533-position model. The record is from RNAcentral.
CAGUCGCCGCGGGAAUACGUAGGUGGCAAGCGUUGUCCGGAAUUAUUGGGCGUAAAGGGCUCGCAGGCGGUUUCUUAAGUCUGAUGUGAAAGCCCCCGGCUCAACCGGGGAGGGUCAUUAGAAACUGGGAAACUUGGGUGCAGAAGAGGAGAGUGGAAUUCCACGUGUAGCGGUGAAAUGCGUAGAGAUGUGGAGGAACACCAGUGGCGAAGGCGACUCUCUGGUCUGUAACUGACGCUGAGGAGCGAAAGCGUGGGGAGCGAACAGGAUUAGAUACCCCCGUAGUCCCUGUCUCUUAUAC